Molecule: long non-coding RNA, 1827 nt
Organism: Perca fluviatilis (European perch)
Lineage: Eukaryota; Metazoa; Chordata; Actinopteri; Perciformes; Percidae
Exons: 2
Source: RefSeq, a predicted model, not a curated record
UUCUCCGACUCGUAGUAUUGUGUGACAAAAAGAACGCAACAACCCUGCGGUUAUUCAUUUUUCGACAUGGAUGUGACGUCACACUCAAGCUACUAGUCGCGAUUACAAGAAUGCCUCGCAAAUCACAUCGGACUGACUCUCGUCGUCUUGCUUGAAUCCAAAAUACUUCCACACCACCGAAUGUGAGCCUUUUUUCGGAACGAGUUUCGUUUGAGACUGAGUGGUUGGCUGAUUCUCGUCACUAGUACCUGGGUUUUCAUCAACAUCCAUUUGGUUUAUUUCUGAACUUCUGCGCUCGCUAGACAAGUGAAACAUGUGACUAAAAGGCGCUUAGUCAUUGGCUGAGGGUGAAGACCUAAACUGUGUGAGUGAUGUCCUACCAAAAUAAAGGCCAAAAAUGCCCUUCACUGAGAUGAACGUGAGACGCUAGAUGCAAAACAUGUCCGCCAAGCUUAAGUUGUUAACUUUCUUCUUUGUAAAACUGCAACAUAUUGAACAGUAAAUGUUCACAGUAAAAACAAGCGUUUUGGGUCAUCAUUCAAAGCCAUUCCACUACAUAGACACACACACGCACACAAAGAGACACACAUAUACAUACACACACACAUACACCCAAAGACACACACACACACAGAGACACACGCACGCACACAGACACACAAGCACACACAGAGACACAAGCACGCGCACACACACACACAAACAAACACACACACCCCCGCUAAGCCUCAGUGGUUACAAUACUGUACUGUUGUGUUCCAAGGUGAACAUCACUACUAUGUAACAAUCACCUAUAGGCCUACAGUCCUAAGGGAAUACCUAUUAAAUAAGAACCUUUGUUUAUGUAGAAAACAGCCCCGAAAUCCCCAUUACCAAACCCACCAGACCCAUGUAAAUAAUCGAGAGGGGGUUGUAGCCGAUUCUGUGGUCUGUCCCGGGACCAUGGUCUCUGGCAGGGACCAGUGGUCACAACCACUAGGGGCGCUAGAGACACUGGUCGCGACCAGCUCCUCAGUGGUCUGCCCUGUGGUCCCUGUGGUCUGUGAAGCGGCUUUAGUAUUGUCAAACCCUUUCCUGUCGUUUUGGCAGCACUGUUAGCUGGAUAAAUGUCAGAGAUCACAAUCUUUUGUUUAUAAAAUACACUAUAUCAUAUAUAUUAUGAUUAUUAUUGUUAUUAUUAUUGAUAAUGGAGAUCCGUGUGGUCAGGACCAGUGGUCACAACCACUAGGGGUGCUAGAGACACUGGUUGCGACCAGCUUCUUACUGGCACAAAGGGCACUAAAAUGACUGGUCCUGACCACCUCCUCUGUGAUCUGUUCUGUUGUUUGGACCAGUUGAGUGAUCUGUGGAGUGUUUAUUUUUAAUACAACUUUUCACGUUUCUCUGUUAUGGUCCGGCACUGUUGUCCCUGUCCCUGCUUGUUUUCCUCUUCCCUUUUUCCCCUGUGUGUGUUGUCAGUCUCUGUCUCCUGCUGUGCAGCCCAUUCAGAGGAUCUAGGUCAGGGGGCGUGGCCAUUCUCUCUCCUGCUCUGUUACCUCCAGCUGCAGCUCAUUGUCAUCAAUAAACAUGCAGUUAUCUACCCGGGCUGGUCACCUCUCCAGCGCCAGUUCGUUCCUACACCACCUGUGAUCCCGUCUGUACCUGCUGCCUGCCUGCCUGCCACUCCCACGCCGCACCCUGCUCAUCUGUUGUCUGAUAUCCUCGUCAUCCAGCUCUCAGUGCUACUGGCUCUCCACCCCACUCAGCUCCUAUCCCGGUCUGAAGCUGCUCCACCCUGAACUGUUUCCCUCUGCCAAAACACGCUGAAUAAAUAACAUCUUAAUUCUC